This 244-nucleotide ribosomal RNA is filed under the name uncultured bacterium. RNAcentral's name for it is "partial 16S ribosomal RNA". It matches the Rfam family "Bacterial small subunit ribosomal RNA", at positions 370 to 630 of the family's 1533-position model. The record is from RNAcentral.
AAUGUGCGAAAGCGCGAACCAGCAACGCCGCGUGUGCGAUGAAGGCCUUCGGGUCGUAAAGCACUUUUUGCAGGGAAGAGGAAGGACGGUACCUGUAGAAUAAGUCUCGGCUAACUACGUGCCAGCAGCCGCGGUAAAACGUAGGAGACGAGCGUUAUUCGGAUUUACUGGGCGUAAAGCGCGUGCAGGCGGCAUGGCAAGUUGGAUGUGAAAGCUCCCGGCUUAACUGGGAGAGGUCGUUCAA